CUACGGGGGGCUGCAGUGAGGGAUAUUGCACAAUGGGGGGAACCCUGAUGCAGCAACGCCGCGUGGAGGAUGACGCAUUUCGGUGUGUAAACUCCUUUUAUAUGUCAAGAAAAUGACGGUAGCAUAUGAAUAAGCACCGGCUAACUCCGUGCCAGCAGCCGCGGUAAUACGGAGGGUGCAAGCGUUACUCGGAAUCACUGGACGUAAAGGACGCGUAGGCGGGUUGGAAAGUCAGGUGUGAAAUCCUACAGCUUAACUGCGAACUGCACUUGAAACUUCUAAUCUAGAGUAUGGGAGGGGGGGAUGGAAUUAGUGGUGUAGGGGUAAAAUCCGUAGAUAACACUAGGAAUACCUAAAGCGAAGGCGAUCUCCUGGAACAUUACUGACGCUAAGGCGUGAAAGCGUGGGGAGCAAACAGGAUUAGAUACCCGUGUAGUC
This 438-nucleotide ribosomal RNA is filed under the name uncultured bacterium. RNAcentral describes it as "partial 16S ribosomal RNA". It matches the Rfam family "Bacterial small subunit ribosomal RNA", at positions 339 to 795 of the family's 1533-position model. The record is from RNAcentral.